AUGAACGCUGGCGGCGUGCCUAAUACAUGCAAGUCGAGCGAACAGACGAGGAGCUUGCUCCUCUGACGUUAGCGGCGGACGGGUGAGUAACACGUGGAUAACCUACCUAUAAGACUGGGAUAACUUCGGGAAACCGGAGCUAAUACCGGAUAAUAUAUUGAACCGCAUGGUUCAAUAGUGAAAGACGGUUUUGCUGUCACUUAUAGAUGGAUCCGCGCCGCAUUAGCUAGUUGGUAAGGUAACGGCUUACCAAGGCGACGAUGCGUAGACGAACUGAGAGGGUGAUCGGCCACCCUGGAACUGAGACACGGUCCAGACUCCUGAGGGAGGCAGCAGUAGGGAAUCGUCCGCAAUGGGCGAAAGCCUGACGGAGCAACGCCGCGUGAGUGAUGAAGGUCUUCGGAUCGUAAAACCCUGUUAUUAGGGAAGAACAGAUGUGUAAGUAAAUAUGCACGUCUUGACGGUAACUAAUCAGAAAGCAACGGCUAACUACGUG
RNAcentral lists this ribosomal RNA (496 nucleotides) under uncultured bacterium. Its description in RNAcentral is "partial 16S ribosomal RNA". It matches the Rfam family "Bacterial small subunit ribosomal RNA", at positions 29 to 507 of the family's 1533-position model. The record is from RNAcentral.